AUGCCCAUAUCACAUUGAAACACUGGUUUCUGUAUGAUCACUGAAGUUAAGCAACGUUGAGCCUGCUCAGUACCUAAAUUGGUGAUCACUUAGGAAUACCAUGUGUUGUAAG
Molecule: non-coding RNA, 112 nt
Organism: Acanthosepion pharaonis
Lineage: Eukaryota; Metazoa; Mollusca; Cephalopoda; Sepiida; Sepiidae
Source: the annotation of a GenBank genome assembly